UUUUAAAUUCACUGCUUGACUGAGGGACCUUACAGAUAAUUGUAUGUGUGGGGUACAUGUUAAACACUAUUAUAGCACACAGAGUCCAAGCAAUUUCUUUGACUUGUUUAGCAAAUUUUUACACCUGAACUUAUUUAGGCUUGCCAUAACAAAGGGGGUGAAUACUUAUUGACUCAAGACAUUUCAGCUUUUCAUUUUUUAUUCAUUUGUAAACAUUUCUAAAAACAUAAUUCAUCUUUGACAUUAUGGGGUAUUGUGUUUAGGCCAGUGACACAAAAUCUCAAUUUAAUCCAUUUUGAUUUCACAUCAAAAUGUGGAAAAAGUCAAGGGGUGUGAAUAUUUUCUGAAGUCAGAGGAAGGGUAAAUCAUUCAAAAAUCAUGUCAAACCCUAUUAUUUCACACAGAAUGAGUCCAUAUAACUUAUGUGAUUUGUUAAACCAAAUUGUACUCCUGAAAUCAUUUAGGAUUUCCUAAACAAAGAUUCUGAAUACUUACGCAACAACUACAUUUUAGUUAUGAAUUUUGUAUUCAUCUUUAAAAGAAUAUAGAAUUUUUCUUCCACUUUAACAGAGCAUUUUGUGUAGAUUUUUACAAUAAAGACAACUAAAUCCAUUUUAAAUCACACUUUAUAACACAGAAAUCCAAGGGGUCUGAAUACUUUGCUAGGCACUGCAUAACUGAUGUACUCAAACGAUCCUAAAUGGUCUAACCCUUCCUUUUGAAAUUGUACUUAUAUUUUUACAGUAUAUGACAUAAAAGGAUGACAAAAUAUAAACAUUUUGCAAUAUCAGGUCUUCUUUUCUGGUUUUACCAGUAUUUGCAUGGACAUGGCUUUACCUGCACACCUAUAGAAUACAUCACACCCAAACCUAAUUUGAUAAACCCUUUAUCAAAAGUAGGAGUGCCUUUUGGUCAGGAUGUACAACGAACUUUAGGCGACAUCACAGGUAUAUGCAAGAGACAAACAACUACACAAACACACCCUGUAUAUUGAAGAUAGCCCCACUGUUCACAUUUCAUAUGAAGAAAUAUCAGGACAAGGGACCAAAGACAACAAAAUGCGUCUCCUGGUAUAAAGAAUAACUGUUUGAAGGACAUCUAUGCAGCUGAAGGAUAAUGUUACCUUGGUUUUCCGCUAUUCUACUCUCUGGGUUACAGCUAGAAUGCAGAACCAGUUUAGCUUCAGUCAAACGAAGGUAGAAGGUGAAAUCUCAAGGCUGCAUAAUGGUAAAGUAAAUAUAUGGAUGAAGAAUACAUUUAAUUUAAAAUCGCUGAUGAAACUGCAACUUUAAAUGUUUUAAUCUUCAGAAAUGUCCAUUGUAUGUUUAUACAAUUCUUAUUUUAGUAUUCUAUUCAAUGACAAAAUCUGCAGUUCAGGAAAAAAAACAAAGGACAAAUUGUUCCAUCUUUGAGUAACCAUCAGGUUUUUAAUUCACACCUUGGAAAAUAUUACAAAAUAAGAUGAACUGCCUUUUGCCAAGUGCUAUAAGGCUGAAAGGGAUAGUAUUGGACUGAAAAUUCAGGUUCCACCCAAACACACACAUAGGUAGUAUAGCCAUUUUAAGUCUUUCCAACUUAUAUGGACUUUAAUGUACUUGGUCACUGCAUAGAUAUAAAGAGAAGAGGGAGGGAGGGAUGCAUGCUUGCUCACACAACAGGACCAUACUCACACACGCCCACACACACAAACAAUUAUCCUUCAAAAAGCCCAAGUCCAGAGUCAUUAGGGAGUUCAAUGAAAAAUGUGCAAUUUUCUUUCAUCUAAUGUAAGGAGUUUAGGGACACUAAGAGUACCAGGUCCUGUAUGCUGCCUUGUACCGUCAUAGUAAAGAGCUAUAGUGCACGUGGCAAGAUACCAUUCACAAUGUUACCAGCCCGGACCUAGAGAGAAAGUUACCACCUUAACAUGCUUUAUGGAACCAAAUGAUUGUUCAUCAAAAAGGCACGUUGAACAAAAACCAAAGUACAUCUCAGAAGUGGCACCAUAUUUCACAUUCUCACCUCCGUUACAAAACAACUCUUCCUUCCCUCUCACUUCACUACAGUGGUAUCACAGCAUUACAACACAGUUGAGGAAACACCCCUGAAAGACGUAUAGUUCCCAAUGUUCAAUGGACAGCACUGCUAAGCUAGCCUAAUACAACCUUGUCCUUUGUUUAGCUCUCCUACAAUACAACUACACUGGGACAUUUGUCUAUCUGUGAUGGAAAAGUAUCCACAAAAGACAUUAGCAGGACAUAUCAACGACUGGGAAAGGAUUUAACCAGUUUUGUAACCGACACAGUCAUAGGGACAGAAGUGAAGUGAUAUACAUGUGCACGCGCACACACACCCACCCAGUUCAAUAUAGUGGAAGUCUGUGCAAAAACCAUUACAGUACAGGUAAUGAUCUACCAAGAUGAAGUGUCUCCCCCUGCUGUCCAAUACCAGUAUUGCAGUCCCAAUGCCAGAAUGGGGGAGAGACAUGAAAUAAGACAUGGUGGUUUGUUAAUGGAAUGAUAUUAACACAUACAGUAUGUGGUUUCUGCCUCUACUGAAUCAUCACAUCUUUAGUAAUGUGUUGUAUGUGUCAGGGAUAUGUUGCAUAGGGGCAGGCAGUGAGUACAACUCCCAAAAUGGAGGUAAGGAUAUCUGGGGUGCUUCUGUUGUAUUCAACCAACACGGAUACAGAAAAACAACCGAGGACCAGUGUGUGGUGUUGUAUUAUCAGCGCAGUACAUUGCUUUGGAUAAAAGCAUCAGUUAGACUUUUUAACAUGUACAAAAACAUCCUUCAAGGAUAAUAAGUACAUUAGAUGAGACGCACAGUACAAACUUUCUGCAGUCAGACAGGCAGACAGAAAGCCACACAGCAUUCAGAAUGAAAGCGCAAACUAGUGUAGUACCACAAAUCCUAAAACGACAAAGUACUGUCUGUAAAAACAGAUUCCCUAAAACAGAAGGCAAUGUUUUGUUUCAGUUUUUCAUUUGCUGAAUGAUGUGCUUUUUAGCUCACCAUGAGAGACAGUCGUCAUUGGUUACAUGGACACAUUUAGACAUGGCUACAUACAUUCACACACACUCACAUUCUGUCCAGGGAUAAAAAUUAAAACAAUCAAAUUCUACUUGGGUCGUUCCACGAAAUAAGCGCCUUUUGCGUCCUUUUGAUAUUUUAAGUACAAAAUUGUGCACCAAUACGGAAUUUUAAAAGCGUUAUAUUUAAUGAAGUGCCCUUUAAUAUAGAUCACAUGGAGAAUUCGAUAAAUAUAUUUUUUUAAUAUGAAUAAAGACUUGCUAAAGUGCCAAAAUUCUGCAUUUGAUAUGUCUCUGUGACUUCAAGAAGAUUAACAUUUCUCCAUCAUUGUAAAGCCCUAGUAAUUUUGUUGUUUUGACAGUCAUUUCUGAUUAUUAUUCAUUUAAAAUGUGAUUAGUCAUUCAUAUAAGCGCAACCCGGUUAUGUGAACUGAACUCGUUUUAAUAUGGUGAAACUUUUGAAAUAAUAUUCCUUUUUAAAUAAUAAUAAAAAACAUUGGACAUCUACUAGCCAAAUAAUUGAGUAAGAGCAGUUGAGCUGGUUCUUCUGAAAACAUUUCUGGUGUUUUGUGGUGGAAAACUGAGCAGGCCGAGCAUAACCCUGUUAACCACAGAAACUCAGGCUAGAUAAUUGGAUUAUUUUGUGAAGCGUGCAUUCAAUUGCCCCUCCCUGUUGCACACAACAAGCGUACAUUUCCUCUGCCACUAGGGGAUUUAUGGCUGAUUUAAGAUGAACUUGUCAACCUUGUUACUUUAUUUGGCACUUAGUCUUUUUUUUUUUUUUAACCUUGAGAUGGGAAAGUUGAACAUGUGCUCUUUAUGACUGUCUAAAGUAGGUGAAAUCAACAAACAUACCCAUCUCAAAAGGCACCGAAUUGGUGGAACGACACUUAUUAUUUCAAACAAAUUAUAUAUUACAUGCAUUCCUCGAAACUAAAACUAAAAUAAAUACAACAUGUCAAAUCAAGCUUCUGAAAACCACUAAACCAACUCAGCAGCUUUUGAGGUUAUUUCCCUGUGCAGUCCUAUUUCAGUACUACAACACUGUAAAAAACAAAGGCAAACCUAACCCACAGCCAGUCUAACAGCCACUGUGCAGAAGACCUAAUACUCUGUUAAAAAGUACAGCAGCCAGGGUUUUUUUCUGCAUAGAAAAGUCUUGGGCGGGCUGCCUAAGUGCUUUUCCAGGCCACUUAUGUAAAAACGAAAAAGGACUAUAUAUUAUGAUAUAUACAGUACCAGUCAAAAGUUUGGACACACCUACUCAUUCAAGGUUUUUAUUUUUAUUAUUUUCUACAUUGUAGAAUAAUAGUGAAGACAUCAAAACUAUGAAAUAACACAUAUGGAAUCAAGUAGUAACCAAAAAUGUGUUAAUCAAAUCAAAAUAAUUUUAGAUUCUUCAAAGUAGUCACCCUUUGCCUUGAUGACAGCUUUGCACACUCUUGGCAUUCUAUCAACCAGCUUCAUGAGGUAGUCACCUGGAAUGUAUUUCAAUGAACAGGUGUGCCUUGUUAAAAAGUUAAUUUGUGGAAUUUCUUUCCUUCUUAAUGCAUUUGAGCCAAUCAGUUGUGUUGUGACUAGGUAGGGGUGGUAUACAGAAGAUAGCCCUAUUUGGUAAAAGACCAAGUCCAUGUUAUGGCAAGAACAGCUCAAAUAAGCAAAGAGAAAUGACAGUCCAUCAUUAGUUUAAGACAUGAAGGUCAGUCAAUCCGGAAAAUGUCAAGAACUUUCAAAGUUUCUUCAAGUGCAGUCGCAAAAACCAUCAAGCGCUAUGAUGAAACUGGCUCUCAUGAGGACCACCACAGGAAAGGAAGACCCCGAGUUACCUCUGCUGUAGAGGAUAAGUUCAUUAGAGUUAACUGCACCUCAGACUGCAGCCCAAAUAAAUGCUUCAGAGUUCAAGUAACAGACAACAUCAACUGUUCAGAGGAGACUGCGUGAAUCCGGCCUUCAUGGUCGAAUUGCUGCAAAUAAACCACUACUAAAGGACACCAAUAAGAAGAAGAGACUUGUUUGGGCCAAGAAACAAGCAAUGGACACACUGUAUAUAGUUUUUUCUAUUGUGUUAUUGACUGUACGUUUGUUUAUUCCAUGUGUAACUCUGUGUUGUCGUUUGCUUUGCUUUAUCUUGGCCAGGUCGCCGUUGUAAAUGAGAACUUGUUCUCAACUGGCCUACCUGGAUAAAUAAAGGUAGGAAAAAAAUAAAAAAUAAAAUAGACAUUAGACCAGUGGAAAUCUGUCCUUCGGUCUGAUGAGUCCAAAUUUGAGAUUGUCUUUGUGAGACACAGAACAGGUGAACGGAUGAUUUCCGCAUGUGUGGCUCGCACAGUGAUGGUGUGUUGCUGGUGACACUAAGUGCUUUAUUUAGAAUUCAAGGCACACUUAACCAGCAUGGCUACCACAGCAUUCUGCAGCGAUACGCCAUCUCAUCAGGUUUGCGCUUAGUGGGACUAUUCUUUGUUUUUCAACAGGACAAUGACCCAACACACCUCCAGGCUGUUUAAGGGCAAUUUGACCAAGAAGGAGAGUGAUGCAUCAGAUGACCUGGCCUCCACAAUCACCCGACCUCAACCCAACUGAGAUUGUUUAGGAUGAGUUGGACCGCAGAGUGAAGGAAAAGCAGCCAACAAGUGCUCAGCAUAUGUUGGAACUCCUUCAAGACUGUUGGAAAAGCAUUCCAUGUGAAGCAGGUUGAGAGAAUACCAAAGCUGUCACCAAGGCAAGGGGUGGCUACUUUGAAAUAACACAUGGAAUAAUGUAGGAACCAAUUUUUUUUUACAGAUUUUAGGUUCUUCAAAGUUUCGAUGUCUUCACUAUUAUUACACAAUGUAGAACAUAAGAAAAACCCUUGAAUGAGUAGCUGUCAAAACUUUUGACUGGUACUGUAUGUAUAUGUAUAUAUUCUAUAUAAUAAAUAAUUUUCGGGAUGGAAAACAUUUUCAAUGUGUAAACUUAAAUUACUAAAAAGAGAUGUAAAGUAUGUAGAAAAGAUAAUGAACCUAUAUAUUUUUUAAAUAAGAUCAUCUUUGAGAACUAACCAUCACCUAAAUAAAAGCUAAAUAAUCAGGGAGAAUCUAAAAUUCCAAAAAUGAUGCAUUCAGGAGUUUUUGUCAUAGCAUGGGGCCACCAGAUUUUUUGGAAUUGCAGAAAAUGUGCUUUAAAACUGUCAAAUUGUAUCUCCGUCACAUGGCAAAAUGUGUAGAAUUGCAAAAAUGUGCUUGAAAACCGCUACAUUUUGUCACUGCGGCCAACAGAAGGGCCUCUAAAAUUGUCGCUCGGCCACCGCACCAUUGGCCACGCCCACCAUGUAAGCCCCAUUUUGAUCCAGAAAAGACCCUGGCAGCUAUUCGCCAUUCUUUCUCAACGCUCACAACAACAGUCUGCUCUGGAAUGUUUUCAAAUCUAAGCCACUUUUCGGUUCAUCUCUUUGAUCUCUUCAUCGCCUUCCAUCAUUGUUCCCUUCUUUCUCAUUGGUCCAGUGGUUGCAGGUGUGAAGUGGUGAUAGGCCCCAGGGAAUGUUCAAACAGGAAACUGGACAGUAUGUCUAGCUACCCCAGAAUGCCUUGCCCUUGGUCCCAUUUCUAGACAUGACCUGUUGUCUCACGUUUCCAGGAAGGCUUUCUAUCGUCCUGUUCCCUUUCUCUGUGGACCAUGAGAGUUUUACAUGGUCUCUUCCUAGCUCCUCUCUCUUUCACUUUCACUCUGAUAGGGUACAGUGUGUAAAAGUCUACUUUUUGCUCCUCCUCAGCAGUAGCUGCGCGUCUGACCCUCAGUAUGGAUGGUCCAGUUGGGUGAUGGUGCAGGUAAGCUGCCCUGCCGUGCCAGCCCUCUCUGGUUCCUCAGACCCUGCGGCCGCAGCACCGGCUCGUGGACCACAUCUCUGCGGGGGGGGAGUGUUGGGGUAUUGGCCCAGCAUCGGGCCAGGCUGGAAGGGGUACUGGCUGUACUGGAGGCCUCCUGGCUGGCCGGGGUAGGGCCUGGGGGCUCCCAGCGUCAGGUUGGAGAAGGUUGCAGACGGGGUGUCUGAGGGCUCCAAGAGGGGCUGGCUGGGGUAGCCGGAGGAGCAGGGGUCCUGGGGGCUCUGGAUGGGGUAGGGGGGCUCCUGGUAGUGCUGCCGAGGGGGGGUAGGGGUUAGCGCCAGAGCUCUGGUGCUCUCCCUGGGUAAAGUUUUGGGUCCGGUAGUAUUUGAGCACCUGAUCGCCUGAGGGCAUGACGUCAAAGGCCUGCCUGUACUGGCCCCCGGGCGAGGACCUCCGGAGCGGGUCUUGGCGUUGGAAGCCCCCUGCCCCGGCCCUCUGAGGAGCCCUGAUCCGUGAGGGGCCCGGGGUGUAGACAUUAUAGGCAGGCGGGGACUGGUUGUGCUGCUGGCUGGGGUAGGGGUUGGCAGGGUGCUCCAUGGCAGGGGAGGAGCUGGUGGAGGCAGAGGAGGAGGUGACUGUGGAGGGACCCUCAGCCCUUUCCUCCUCAGCCAGCUUCUCUAUCAGCAGGGAGGCGAUCUCCUUCCCCGACAGGCCCUGGAUGGGCUCCGUACUGCACCUGGAGCUCUGGGGGUCUGAGCGGCUGCGGUAGUGGAUCCCUGUCGAUGUAGACGCUGGGAGGAAGUCGCUCUCCUGGAUGCUCCCUGGGCUCGUUGCGGCCGAGUCGUUGUGGGCGGAUGGGCUGUCUGGAGUGGAGGGGGUGAGGCUGACGCUGGUGGAGCCUGCCUGGUCAGGGACCAGGCGGGGGGAGGACUGUCUCUGGUCCUCUGGGGGAGGGGGGUCGUUUGGAGUGGCAAGAGGUUCAGAAUCCUGUGGAGAGUCUCCAUCCAGGUCUGUGCUGGUCCAGCUCUUCGUGUUUUGGGCCCCAGUAGAGGGGCUGGGGAAAGGGAAGUUGACGUAGAUGGGCUCAGACAGGUCCUUGGAGGUCGGUCUGUGGGCCUGGGGAGGGGAAGGCUGGGAUGGCUGGAGAGACUUGCCCUGGGGAGGCUGGCUCAGACUCAGAGGAGCAUCCUCUGGCUUACGAUAGCACACCUUCCCGUUUUCAAAAUAGGGGUGUAGCUGGGAGGCGGUGAGGUCUGUGGAGGCUGACCUAUUGGAGCGGUGGAGGUUGCGUUGGUGCUGGUGGAGCGCCAGGGGAACCAUGGAGGAGGAGGGGAGGGGGUGCAUCUCACUACGGGCCAGCCGGACUGAGGAGGAGGUCUGGCGCUGGGGCCGGGGGUGGUGGUGAGAGGGGUGAUGGUGGUGGGUGGAGCCGUCCUGGGAGUGGUGGUGAGAGUGGGAGUGUCCGUGGGAGAAUGAAUGGGACUGGGAGUGGGCGGCUGCCCAAGCCCGCGUGACCUCUUUGGACCAGAGCUGGGGCCCACUCUCCCUGGGUCCACCCUGGUUGUGGUGGAGAGGCUGGGGUUGGUGUUGGUGAUGUCCCCGAGAGAUGGGCCUUUUGUUGGCCUCUAGGUGGGGGGCCGGGCGGAAGUUACCCUCCAGGUCCAGCCUCAUGUUCUGGUAGCUGUGGCGGGCGUAGCUGGGGGGGCCCUGCGAGUUCUCAGGCCCGGCGAUCUCAUAGUAGAAGUUUUCCAUCCUUCCCUGGUCCUCUGAGGUGGAGGAGAGGGGCACGGGCCGGAUCUGGGCCUGCUGAGGAGGCUGCUGACCCGGGGAUGGUUGGCUGGCUGCGUGGUAGCGGGCGAGGUGGUCUGGAGCUCCACUCAGACGCUCUGAGAAGGCCCUGGCCAGAGGAGGGUUCCCCUGCUGACCAAAGAUCCGCCUGAUGCGCCCUGAGUCCAGGGAGCGACGCAUCUCAGUCUGGGCCAGUGGUGCUCUGUGGGGACGCUCCAGAUCCAGGGGCUUAGGAGGUACUUUGGGGCGGGUGGGCUGGAAGGCACGGACCUGAGUCAGAGGGGACUCUGACUUGGAGUGCAGGAGCUGGGCCGAGGACGGCUUGGACUGGGUGGAGGUGGAUUUCUGUUGGAGGUGAGGGGCAGAGAACUGGCGUGAGUAGGCUGGGGGCUUCCUCUGAGGCUGGGACUCAGUGGGGCUAGGUCUCUCCCCAGACUGGCCUGGGUUGGGAGGCUGUGACUGGGGCAGCUGCUUCUGGUUCUUGUAGAUGGGGCUGGGGGUCUGGUCGUCUCCAGAGGCGCUCCCACCAGACAGCUCCGAGUUGGACGCCACAGAGUCAGACGUCUCAGAGGACAGGGUCCCCAUAUCCUGCAAUA
This 9195-nucleotide long non-coding RNA is filed under the name Salmo salar (Atlantic salmon). RNAcentral's name for it is "lncRNA (ENSSSAG00000104194.1)". Lineage: Eukaryota; Metazoa; Chordata; Actinopteri; Salmoniformes; Salmonidae. The record is from RNAcentral.